GACAGAGGGUGCAAACGUUGUUCGGAAUUACUGGGCGUAAAGCGCGUGUAGGCGGCCUUGCAAGUCGGAUGUGAAAGCCCACGGCUCAACCGUGGAAGUGCAUCCGAAACUGCAUAGCUUGAGUCUCGGAGAGGAAGGUGGAAUGCUUGGUGUAGAGGUGAAAUUCGUAGAUAUCAAGCAGAACACCUGCGGCGAAGGCGGCCUUCUGGACGAUGACUGACGCUGAGACGCGAAAGCGUGGGGAGCAAACAGG
RNAcentral lists this ribosomal RNA (253 nucleotides) under uncultured bacterium. RNAcentral describes it as "partial 16S ribosomal RNA". It matches the Rfam family "Bacterial small subunit ribosomal RNA", at positions 524 to 776 of the family's 1533-position model. The record is from RNAcentral.